Molecule: non-coding RNA, 90 nt
Filed under: uncultured Cohnella sp.
Lineage: Bacteria; Bacillati; Bacillota; Bacilli; Caryophanales; Paenibacillaceae
Description: Glycine riboswitch
Rfam family: Glycine riboswitch aptamer
About the family: This family represents the bacterial glycine riboswitch.
Source: RNAcentral
CAACGGGAGAGACCGCCCGCACGCACCACGGAGGCGGCGCCGAAGGAGUAACCCUCGGGUUCGAGGAGAAUCUCUCAGGCAAAAGGACCU